This 391-nucleotide unclassified non-coding RNA is filed under the name soil metagenome. Its description in RNAcentral is "partial contains 5.8S ribosomal RNA, internal transcribed spacer 2, and large subunit ribosomal RNA". The stretch from base 1 to 122 matches the Rfam family "5.8S ribosomal RNA", at positions 35 to 154 of the family's 154-position model. The record is from RNAcentral.
GAUGAAGAACGCAGCGAAAUGCGAUACUUGGUGUGAAUUGCAGAAUCCCGUGAACCAUCGAGUCUUUGAACGCAAGUUGCGCCCGAAGCCAUUAGGCCGAGGGCACGCCUGCCUGGGCGUCACACGUCGUUGCCCCCCCAUCUACUCCUUCGGGAUUGCGGGGGGCGGAUGAUGGCCUCUCGUGCGCCUCGUCGCGCGGUUGGCCUAAAUGCCAAGUCCUCGGCGAUGCACGCCACGACAAUCGGUGGUUGCGAAACCUCGGUUGCCUGUCGUGUGCGGUCGUCGCGCAUCGAGGGCUCGAAAAAAUUGCCGGGCUUCGGCUCGACUUUCAACGCGACCCCAGGUCAGGCGGGGUUACCCGCUGAAUUUAAGCAUAUCAAUAAGCGGAGGA